RNAcentral lists this long non-coding RNA (405 nucleotides) under Trifolium pratense (red clover). RNAcentral describes it as "long non-coding RNA (TPRA_LNC011085)". The record is from RNAcentral. Lineage: Eukaryota; Viridiplantae; Streptophyta; Magnoliopsida; Fabales; Fabaceae.
AAAUAUAUCUAAAAUCGACUUUCUUAUGCUUUCCAUAGUUCUUUAUUCUCUUUAACCGAUAACAUUCCAUGUUGUAUGUUAUUUCUCUUUCAACCAUGAAAAUUCGGAGCAGACUUAUCUUCUGUACCUUUGCCAAUCAUAGCAGCAAGAUAUAUUUUUUUUAAUAUAGAACUUAACAACAGUUAUUUCAUACACCAUUGAUGUUGAGAAGGCAUCCUUAUGACACAGGAGUUUUCAGCAAAGACUGUAUUUUUAAGAAUUUUGGAAGUCUUUGAAGAGUCAUCUGAUUAGAUAAUGAAGUUUACGAUUCACAAAUUUGAAAAUACUGCACACUGUAUGCUUGAAAUAACGUCCAAUAGAGCAGAUAACCAGAUACCAGGGUUAACAAAAUGAAAACACACAUUA